AACGAACGCUGGCGGCGCGUCUUAAGCAUGCAAGUCGAACGGCAAGAGAGGAGCUUGCUUCUCUCCUAGAGUGGCGGACUGGUGAGGAACACGUGGGUAAUCUACCCUUAAGAUGGGGAUAGCUGCUAGAAAUAGCAGGUAAUACCGAAUACACUCGGCAUAUCACAAGAGGUGUUGAGGAAAGGAAGCUACGGCUUCGCUUGAGGAUGAGCUUGCGUCCCAUUAGCUAGUUGGUGGGGUAAAGGCCCACCAAGGCGACGAUGGGUAUCCGGCCUGAGAGGGUGAACGGACACAUUGGGACUGAGAUACGGCCCAAACUCCUACGGGAGGCAGCAGCUAAGAAUAUUCCGCAAUGGACGGAAGUCUGACGGAGCGACGCCGCGUGGAUGAAGAAGGCUGAAAAGUUGUAAAAUCCUUUUGUUGAUGAAGAAUAAGGGUGAGAGGGAAUGCUCAUCUGAUGACGGUAAUCGACGAAUAAGCCCCGGCUAAUUACGUG
RNAcentral lists this ribosomal RNA (496 nucleotides) under uncultured bacterium. Its description in RNAcentral is "partial 16S ribosomal RNA". It matches the Rfam family "Bacterial small subunit ribosomal RNA", at positions 29 to 507 of the family's 1533-position model. The record is from RNAcentral.